This 432-nucleotide ribosomal RNA is filed under the name uncultured bacterium. RNAcentral describes it as "partial 16S ribosomal RNA". It matches the Rfam family "Bacterial small subunit ribosomal RNA", at positions 29 to 507 of the family's 1533-position model. The record is from RNAcentral.
AACGAACGCUGGCGGCAUGCCUAACACAUGCAAGUCGAACGAGACCUUCGGGUCUAGUGGCGCACGGGUGCGUAACGCGUGGGAACCUGCCCUUAGGUUCGGAAUAACUCCCCGAAAGGGGUGCUAAUACCGGAUAAUGUCUUCGGACCAAAGAUUUAUCGCCUUUGGAUGGGCCCGCGUUGGAUUAGCUAGUUGGUAGGGUAAAAGCCUACCAAGGCGACGAUCCAUAGCUGGUCUGAGAGGAUGAUCAGCCACACUGGGACUGAGACACGGCCCAGACUCCACGGGAGGCAGCAGUGGGGAAUAUUGGACAAUGGGCGAAAGCCUGAUCCAGCAAUGCCGCGUGAGUGAUGAAGGCCUUAGGGUUGUAAAGCCCUUUUACCCGGGAUGAUAAUGACAGUACCGGGAGAAUAAGCUCCGGCUAACUCCGUG